RNAcentral lists this ribosomal RNA (507 nucleotides) under uncultured Staphylococcus sp. RNAcentral describes it as "partial 16S ribosomal RNA". Lineage: Bacteria; Bacillati; Bacillota; Bacilli; Caryophanales; Staphylococcaceae. The record is from RNAcentral.
CACGUAGUUAGCCGUGGCUUUCUGAUUAGGUACCGUCAAGAUGUGCAUAGUUACUUACACAUUUGUUCUUCCCUAAUAACAGAGUUUUACGAUCCGAAGACCUUCAUCACUCACGCGGCGUUGCUCCGUCAGGCUUUCGCCCAUUGCGGAAGAUUCCCUACUGCUGCCUCCCAUAGGAGUCUGGACCGUGUCUCAGUUCCAGUGUGGCCGAUCACCCUCUCAGGUCGGCUACGCAUCGUUGCCUUGGUAAGCCGUUACCUUACCAACUAGCUAAUGCGGCGCGGAUCCAUCUAUAAGUGACAGACAAAACCGUCUUUCACUAUUGAACCAUGCGUUCAAUAUAUUAUCCGGUAUUAGCUUCCGGUUCCGAAGUUACUCCCAGUCUUAGUAGGUAGGUUAUCCUAGUCGUUACUCCUACCCGUCCGCCGCUAACGGUCAAGAGGAGACAACGCUCCUCGUCUGUUCGCUCGUACUUGCUAUGUAGUUAGGCACCGCCGCCAGUCGUUC